RNAcentral lists this ribosomal RNA (272 nucleotides) under uncultured bacterium. Its description in RNAcentral is "partial 16S ribosomal RNA". It matches the Rfam family "Bacterial small subunit ribosomal RNA", at positions 86 to 354 of the family's 1533-position model. The record is from RNAcentral.
UUAUACUUAGUGGCGGACGGGUGAGUAACGCGUGGGCGAACCUGCCCCGUCGCCGGGGGAGUACCGCCUGGAAACAGGCGCUAAUACCGCAUAAGCGCAUACAGCCGCAUGGCAGUAUGCGGAAAGCUCCGGCGGCACGGGAUGGGCCCGCGCCCGAUUAGCCAGUUGGCGGGGUAACGGGCCCACCAAAGCGACGAUCGGUAGCCGGCCUGAGAGGGCGGACGGCCACAUUGGGACUGAGACACGGCCCAAACUCCUACGGAAGGCAGCAG